CCUACGGGAGGCAGCAGUGGGGAAUAUUGCGCAAUGGGCGAAAGCCUGACGCAGCGACGCCGCGUGAGGGAUGAAGGUCUUCGGAUCGUAAACCUCUGUCAGCAGGGAAGAACGGUCACUGUGCUAAUCAGCAGUGAAUUGACGGUACCUGCAAAGGAAGCACCGGCUAACUCCGUGCCAGCAGCCGCGGUAAUACGGAGGGUGCGAGCGUUAAUCGGAAUUACUGGGCGUAAAGCGCUCGUAGGCGGUAUGUCAAGUCAAGGGUGAAAUCCCCGCGCUCAACGUGGGAACUGCCUUUGAAACUGGCAAACUGGAGUGUGUGAGAGGAUAGUGGAAUUCCAGGUGGAGGAGUGAAAUGCGUAGAUAUCUGGAGGAACAUCAGUGGCGAAGGCGACUAUCUGGCACAUAACUGACGCUGAGGAGCGAAAGCGUGGGUAGCAAACAGGAUUAGAUACCCUGGUAGUC
Molecule: ribosomal RNA, 465 nt
Filed under: uncultured bacterium
Lineage: Bacteria
Description: partial 16S ribosomal RNA
Rfam family: Bacterial small subunit ribosomal RNA
Source: RNAcentral